Molecule: long non-coding RNA, 942 nt
Filed under: Monodelphis domestica (gray short-tailed opossum)
Lineage: Eukaryota; Metazoa; Chordata; Mammalia; Didelphimorphia; Didelphidae
Description: lncRNA (ENSMODG00000034140.2)
Source: RNAcentral
UUACUUUGACCCCGUCCUUUCACUAGAGGAAACACAAUCGAGACCUUAAAAUGAUUCGGAAUACGACGGUGCUUAGUAUUCAUUUCUAUAGAACUUUAAGAUCUUCCCUCUUCAAGUUGUGAGGCACGCUUUUCCAAAGCUUUUCAGCACAACCCACUUCAAAAACAUUAUCUCGAUGAUUGCCAUUUUAUUUGCAAGUAAUGUGCUAUUUUUAAGCGAGGAACAGUAGUCAGUACUACAGCGCCCUCUAUUGAUAAAACCGAGAAGUUCACUUGAAAUAAAAGACCUACAAGGCCAGGCGUUCUUGUACAACUGGACGAUCGAGGUUGAAAUGUGAGCUAUUGCAAGUCUCAAAAUAGGACUGAAGAGGAAACUGCAUGAGUAUUAAAUGACCUUCAGUCCAUGCAGAAGGAGCAGGGACACUGCUGGUUUCAGUUUGAGUUCAGAGCUCGACACACUCAUUUUACCACUGAGGAAACUGAGGCAAACAGAGUUGAGUGACGUUUCUGGCCAGGAAGUAUCUGAGACUGUGCCCAUGAGUUGCUCUUCAGCCUGCAACACUCCCAGGUUCAAGUAGAUGAGAGAACUGAAGCAAAUGAGGUUAAGUGACUUGCCCUGGGGCACACAGAUAAUAAGUGUCUGAGGCCAGAUUUGAACUGCAGGCUUGACACUCUAUCCAUUGUACCAGAUGAGGAAAAUUCAAGGAAGUUAAGCGACUUGCCUGAUGUCACCCAAGUAAUAAGCAUUGGAAGUAAUCAAUGUCCAGAGAAAGCACACCACAGCUGGUGUUCUUUUCCAGUAUUAUUUCCUGGUCUAUAAAGUCAGAGACUUAGAGUAGUUUCCAAGGGGCUAUGCAGCUAUAGAUGUCAUAAGUAUGAUUCCAUUUUGUUUCUGUACAACUUUCUAGAGAAUCACUUGCUAAAUAAAGUAAUCAAACUGCAU